GGGGAAUAUUGCACAAUGGGGGAAACCCUGAUGCAGCGACGCCGCGUGGAGGAAGAAGGUCUUCGGAUUGUAAACUCCUGUUGUUGAGGAAGAUAAUGACGGUACUCAACAAGGAAGUGACGGCUAACUACGUGCCAGCAGCCGCGGUAAAACGUAGGUCACAAGCGUUGUCCGGAAUUACUGGGUGUAAAGGGAGCGCAGGCGGGAAAACAAGUUGGAAGUGAAAUCCAUGGGCUCAACCCAUGAACUGCUUUCAAAACUGUUUUUCUUGAGUAGUGCAGAGGUAGGCGGAAUUCCCGGUGUAGCGGUGGAAUGCGUAGAUAUCGGGAGGAACACCAGUGGCGAAGGCGGCCUACUGGGCACCAACUGACGCUGAGGCUCGAAAGUGUGGGUAGCAAACAGGAUUAGAUACCCUGGUAGUCCACACCGUAAACGAUGAUUACUAGGUGUUGGAGGAUUGACCCCUUCAGUGCCGCAGUUAACACAAUAAGUAAUCCACCUGGGGAGUACGACCGCAAGGUUGAAACUCAAAGGAAUUGACGGGGGCCCGCACAAGCAGUGGAGUAUGUGGUUUAAUUCGACGCAACGCGAAGAACCUUACCAAGUCUUGACAUCCCUUGACGAUGCUGGAAACAGCAUUUCUCUUCGGAGCAAGGAGACAGGUGGUGCAUGGUUGUCGUCAGCUCGUGUCGUGAGAUGUUGGGUUAAGUCCCGCAACGAGCGCAACCCUUAUGGUCAGUUACUACGCAAGAGGACUCUGGCCAGACUGCCGUUGACAAAACGGAGGAAGGUGGGGAUGACGUCAAAUCAUCAUGCCCUUUAUGACCUGGGCUACACACGUACUACAAUGGCGUUAAACAAAGAGAAGCAAGACCGCGAGGUGGAGCAAAACUCAGAAACAACGUCCCAGUUCGGACUGCAGGCUGCAACUCGCCUGCACGAAGUCGGAAUUGCUAGUAAUCGUGGAUCAGCAUGCCACGGUGAAUACGUUCCCG
This 995-nucleotide ribosomal RNA is filed under the name uncultured bacterium. RNAcentral describes it as "bacterial SSU rRNA". It matches the Rfam family "Bacterial small subunit ribosomal RNA", at positions 356 to 1376 of the family's 1533-position model. The record is from RNAcentral.